CAUGCAAGUCGGUACGGGANAUAUCCUAGAUGGUAUUUCCAGUGGCGGACGGGUGANCUANCGCGCUAAGAACCUAUCCUUAGGAGGGGGACAACAGCCUGGAAACGGUUGCUAAUACCCCAUAUGCUGAGGAGCAAAAGGAGGAAUCCGCCCAAGGAGGGUCUUGCGUCUGAUUAGCUAGUUGGUGAGGUAAUGGCUCACCAAGGCAACGAUCAGUAGCUGGUCUGAGAGGAUGAUCAGCCACACUGGGACUGAGACACGGCCCAGACUCUUACGGGAGGCAGCAGUGGGGAAUUUUCCGCAAUGGGCGAAAGCCUGACGGAGCAAUGCCGCGUGGAGGUAGAAGGCUCACGGGUCGUAAACUCCUUUUCUCANANAAGAUGCAAUGACGGUAUCUGAGGAAUAAGCAUCGGCUAACUCUGUGCCAGCAGCCGCGGUAAGACAGAGGAUGCAAGCGUUAUCCGGAAUGAUUGGGCGUAAAGCGUCUGUAGGUGGCUUUUUAAGUCCGCCGUCAAAUCCCAGGGCUCAACCCUGGACAGGCGGUGGAAACUACUAAGCUGGAGUACGGUAGGGGCAAAGGGAAUUUCCGGUGGAGCGGUGAAAUGCGUAGAGAUCGGAAAGAACACCAAUGGCGAAAGCACUUUGCUGGGCCGACACUGACACUGANAGACNAAAGCUAGGGGAGCAAAUGGGAUUANAUACCCCAGUAGUCCUAGCUGUAAACGAUGNAUACUAAGCGCUGUGCGUAUCGACCCGUGCAGUGC
RNAcentral lists this ribosomal RNA (764 nucleotides) under uncultured bacterium. RNAcentral's name for it is "bacterial SSU rRNA". It matches the Rfam family "Bacterial small subunit ribosomal RNA", at positions 54 to 846 of the family's 1533-position model. The record is from RNAcentral.